AUGAUAACAAGGGGAGAGACUACUUUAAGUAGCGCCGAAGGAGCAAGCAGAUUAGUGAAUCUCUCAGGCAAAAGAACUCUUGUUUGACG
This 89-nucleotide non-coding RNA is filed under the name Bacillus sp. (in: firmicutes). Its description in RNAcentral is "Bacillus sp. Glycine sequence". It matches the Rfam family "Glycine riboswitch aptamer". From Rfam's summary of the family: This family represents the bacterial glycine riboswitch. Glycine riboswitches usually consist of two metabolite-binding aptamers domains with similar structures in tandem. RNAcentral also lists the same sequence under 1 other name. The record is from RNAcentral. Lineage: Bacteria; Bacillati; Bacillota; Bacilli; Caryophanales; Bacillaceae.